This 467-nucleotide ribosomal RNA is filed under the name uncultured bacterium. Its description in RNAcentral is "partial 16S ribosomal RNA". It matches the Rfam family "Bacterial small subunit ribosomal RNA", at positions 29 to 507 of the family's 1533-position model. The record is from RNAcentral.
ACGAACGCUGGCGGCGUGCUUGACACAUGCAAGUCGAACGGAAAGGCCCUGCUUUUGUGGGGUGCUCGAGUGGCGAACGGGUGAGUAACACGUGAGUAACCUGCCCUUGACUUUGGGAUAACUUCAGGAAACUGGGGCUAAUACCGGAUAGGAGCUCCUGCUGCAUGGUGGGGGUUGGAAAGUUUCGGCGGUUGGGGAUGGACUCGCGGCUUAUCAGCUUGUUGGUGGGGUAGUGGCUUACCAAGGCUUUGACGGGUAGCCGGCCUGAGAGGGUGACCGGCCACAUUGGGACUGAGAUACGGCCCAGACUCCUACGGGAGGCAGCAGUGGGGAAUAUUGCACAAUGGGCGGAAGCCUGAUGCAGCAACGCCGCGUGCGGGAUGAUGGCCUUCGGGUUGUAAACCGCUUUCGCCUGUGACGAAGCGUGAGUGACGGUAAUGGGUAAAGAAGCACCGGCUAACUACGUG